RNAcentral lists this ribosomal RNA (213 nucleotides) under Clostridioides difficile. Its description in RNAcentral is "partial 23S ribosomal RNA". It matches the Rfam family "Bacterial large subunit ribosomal RNA", at positions 308 to 523 of the family's 2925-position model. The record is from RNAcentral. Lineage: Bacteria; Bacillati; Bacillota; Clostridia; Peptostreptococcales; Peptostreptococcaceae.
AUCAUAACGAAGAGGUAUCGUAAUUGAAGAGGUUUGGAAAGACCCACCACAGAAGGUAAUAGUCCUGUAUGUUAAACGAGAAGACUUUAGAUAUGAUCCAGAGUACUACGGGACACGUGAAACCCUGUGGGAAGCAGGAGGGACCACCCUCCAAGGCUAAAUACUACCUAGUGACCGAUAGCGUAUAGUACCGUGAGGGAAAGGUGAAAAGAA